RNAcentral lists this ribosomal RNA (497 nucleotides) under uncultured bacterium. RNAcentral describes it as "partial 16S ribosomal RNA". It matches the Rfam family "Bacterial small subunit ribosomal RNA", at positions 28 to 507 of the family's 1533-position model. The record is from RNAcentral.
GAUGAACGCUGGCGGCGUGCCUAAUACAUGCAAGUCGAGCGAACAGACGAGGAGCUUGCUCCUCUGACGUUAGCGGCGGACGGGUGAGUAACACGUGGAUAACCUACCUAUAAGACUGGGAUAACUUCGGGAAACCGGAGCUAAUACCGGAUAAUAUAUUGAACCGCAUGGUCCAAUAGUGAAAGACGGUUUUGCUGUCACUUAUAGAUGGAUCCGCGCCGCAUUAGCUAGUUGGUAAGGUAACGGCUUACCAAGGCAACGAUGCGUAGCCGACCUGAGAGGGUGAUCGGCCACACUGGAACUGAGACACGGUCCAGACUCCUACGGGAGGCAGCAGUAGGGAAUCUUCCGCAAUGGGCGAAAGCCUGACGGAGCAACGCCGCGUGAGUGAUGAAGGUCUUCGGAUCGUAAAACUCUGUUAUUAGGGAAGAACAAAUGUGUAAGUAACUAUGCACGUCUUGACGGUACCUAAUCAGAAAGCAACGGCUAACUACGUG